GGGGGACCAUCCUCCAAGGCUAAAUACUCCUGACUGACCGAUAGUGAACCAGUACCGUGAGGGAAAGGCGAAAAGAACCCCGGCGAGGGGAGUGAAAAAGAACCUGAAACCGUGUACGUACAAGCAGUGGGAGCCUCUUAAUGGGGUGACUGCGUACCUUUUGUAUAAUGGGUCAGCGACUUAUAUUCUGUAGCAAGGUUAACCGAAUAGGGGAGCCGAAGGGAAACCGAGUCUUAACUGGGCGUUAAGUUGCAGGGUAUAGACCCGAAACCCGGUGAUCUAGCCAUGGGCAGGUUGAAGGUUGGGUAACACUAACUGGAGGACCGAACCGACUAAUGUUGAAAAAUUAGCGGAUGACUUGUGGCUGGGGGUGAAAGGCCAAUCAAACCGGGAGAUAGCUGGUUCUCCCCGAAAGCUAUUUAGGUAGCGCCUCGUGAAUUCAUCUCCGGGG
Molecule: ribosomal RNA, 451 nt
Filed under: Escherichia coli
Lineage: Bacteria; Pseudomonadati; Pseudomonadota; Gammaproteobacteria; Enterobacterales; Enterobacteriaceae
Description: partial 23S ribosomal RNA
Rfam family: Bacterial large subunit ribosomal RNA
Source: RNAcentral